Molecule: ribosomal RNA, 2894 nt
Filed under: Escherichia coli
Lineage: Bacteria; Pseudomonadati; Pseudomonadota; Gammaproteobacteria; Enterobacterales; Enterobacteriaceae
Also listed under: 3 other names
Description: bacterial LSU rRNA
Rfam family: Bacterial large subunit ribosomal RNA
Source: RNAcentral
ACUAAGCGUACACGGUGGAUGCCCUGGCAGUCAGAGGCGAUGAAGGACGUGCUAAUCUGCGAUAAGCGUCGGUAAGGUGAUAUGAACCGUUAUAACCGGCGAUUUCCGAAUGGGGAAACCCAGUGUGUUUCGACACACUAUCAUUAACUGAAUCCAUAGGUUAAUGAGGCGAACCGGGGGAACUGAAACAUCUAAGUACCCCGAGGAAAAGAAAUCAACCGAGAUUCCCCCAGUAGCGGCGAGCGAACGGGGAGCAGCCCAGAGCCUGAAUCAGUGUGUGUGUUAGUGGAAGCGUCUGGAAAGGCGUGCGAUACAGGGUGACAGCCCCGUACACAAAAAUGCACAUGCUGUGAGCUCGAUGAGUAGGGCGGGACACGUGGUAUCCUGUCUGAAUAUGGGGGGACCAUCCUCCAAGGCUAAAUACUCCUGACUGACCGAUAGUGAACCAGUACCGUGAGGGAAAGGCGAAAAGAACCCCGGCGAGGGGAGUGAAAAAGAACCUGAAACCGUGUACGUACAAGCAGUGGGAGCACGCUUAGGCGUGUGACUGCGUACCUUUUGUAUAAUGGGUCAGCGACUUAUAUUCUGUAGCAAGGUUAACCGAAUAGGGGAGCCGAAGGGAAACCGAGUCUUAACUGGGCGUUAAGUUGCAGGGUAUAGACCCGAAACCCGGUGAUCUAGCCAUGGGCAGGUUGAAGGUUGGGUAACACUAACUGGAGGACCGAACCGACUAAUGUUGAAAAAUUAGCGGAUGACUUGUGGCUGGGGGUGAAAGGCCAAUCAAACCGGGAGAUAGCUGGUUCUCCCCGAAAGCUAUUUAGGUAGCGCCUCGUGAAUUCAUCUCCGGGGGUAGAGCACUGUUUCGGCAAGGGGGUCAUCCCGACUUACCAACCCGAUGCAAACUGCGAAUACCGGAGAAUGUUAUCACGGGAGACACACGGCGGGUGCUAACGUCCGUCGUGAAGAGGGAAACAACCCAGACCGCCAGCUAAGGUCCCAAAGUCAUGGUUAAGUGGGAAACGAUGUGGGAAGGCCCAGACAGCCAGGAUGUUGGCUUAGAAGCAGCCAUCAUUUAAAGAAAGCGUAAUAGCUCACUGGUCGAGUCGGCCUGCGCGGAAGAUGUAACGGGGCUAAACCAUGCACCGAAGCUGCGGCAGCGACACUAUGUGUUGUUGGGUAGGGGAGCGUUCUGUAAGCCUGUGAAGGUGUGCUGUGAGGCAUGCUGGAGGUAUCAGAAGUGCGAAUGCUGACAUAAGUAACGAUAAAGCGGGUGAAAAGCCCGCUCGCCGGAAGACCAAGGGUUCCUGUCCAACGUUAAUCGGGGCAGGGUGAGUCGACCCCUAAGGCGAGGCCGAAAGGCGUAGUCGAUGGGAAACAGGUUAAUAUUCCUGUACUUGGUGUUACUGCGAAGGGGGGACGGAGAAGGCUAUGUUGGCCGGGCGACGGUUGUCCCGGUUUAAGCGUGUAGGCUGGUUUUCCAGGCAAAUCCGGAAAAUCAAGGCUGAGGCGUGAUGACGAGGCACUACGGUGCUGAAGCAACAAAUGCCCUGCUUCCAGGAAAAGCCUCUAAGCAUCAGGUAACAUCAAAUCGUACCCCAAACCGACACAGGUGGUCAGGUAGAGAAUACCAAGGCGCUUGAGAGAACUCGGGUGAAGGAACUAGGCAAAAUGGUGCCGUAACUUCGGGAGAAGGCACGCUGAUAUGUAGGUGAAGCGACUUGCUCGUGGAGCUGAAAUCAGUCGAAGAUACCAGCUGGCUGCAACUGUUUAUUAAAAACACAGCACUGUGCAAACACGAAAGUGGACGUAUACGGUGUGACGCCUGCCCGGUGCCGGAAGGUUAAUUGAUGGGGUUAGCCGCAAGGCGAAGCUCUUGAUCGAAGCCCCGGUAAACGGCGGCCGUAACUAUAACGGUCCUAAGGUAGCGAAAUUCCUUGUCGGGUAAGUUCCGACCUGCACGAAUGGCGUAAUGAUGGCCAGGCUGUCUCCACCCGAGACUCAGUGAAAUUGAACUCGCUGUGAAGAUGCAGUGUACCCGCGGCAAGACGGAAAGACCCCGUGAACCUUUACUAUAGCUUGACACUGAACAUUGAGCCUUGAUGUGUAGGAUAGGUGGGAGGCUUUGAAGUGUGGACGCCAGUCUGCAUGGAGCCGACCUUGAAAUACCACCCUUUAAUGUUUGAUGUUCUAACGUUGACCCGUAAUCCGGGUUGCGGACAGUGUCUGGUGGGUAGUUUGACUGGGGCGGUCUCCUCCUAAAGAGUAACGGAGGAGCACGAAGGUUGGCUAAUCCUGGUCGGACAUCAGGAGGUUAGUGCAAUGGCAUAAGCCAGCUUGACUGCGAGCGUGACGGCGCGAGCAGGUGCGAAAGCAGGUCAUAGUGAUCCGGUGGUUCUGAAUGGAAGGGCCAUCGCUCAACGGAUAAAAGGUACUCCGGGGAUAACAGGCUGAUACCGCCCAAGAGUUCAUAUCGACGGCGGUGUUUGGCACCUCGAUGUCGGCUCAUCACAUCCUGGGGCUGAAGUAGGUCCCAAGGGUAUGGCUGUUCGCCAUUUAAAGUGGUACGCGAGCUGGGUUUAGAACGUCGUGAGACAGUUCGGUCCCUAUCUGCCGUGGGCGCUGGAGAACUGAGGGGGGCUGCUCCUAGUACGAGAGGACCGGAGUGGACGCAUCACUGGUGUUCGGGUUGUCAUGCCAAUGGCACUGCCCGGUAGCUAAAUGCGGAAGAGAUAAGUGCUGAAAGCAUCUAAGCACGAAACUUGCCCCGAGAUGAGUUCUCCCUGACUCCUUGAGAGUCCUGAAGGAACGUUGAAGACGACGACGUUGAUAGGCCGGGUGUGUAAGCGCAGCGAUGCGUUGAGCUAACCGGUACUAAUGAACCGUGAGGCUUAACC